GGGCCGGUAGCUUAGCCAGGCAGAGCGACGGACUCUUAAUCCGUAGGCCAGGGGUUCAACUCCCUUCCGGCUCGCCA
This 77-nucleotide transfer RNA is filed under the name Methanomethylovorans hollandica DSM 15978. RNAcentral's name for it is "tRNA-Lys (CTT) (tRNA-Lys-CTT-1-1)". It matches the Rfam family "tRNA". Rfam says of the family: Transfer RNA (tRNA) molecules are approximately 80 nucleotides in length. Their secondary structure includes four short double-helical elements and three loops (D, anti-codon, and T loops). RNAcentral also lists the same sequence under 3 other names. Lineage: Archaea; Methanobacteriati; Methanobacteriota; Methanomicrobia; Methanosarcinales; Methanosarcinaceae. The record is from RNAcentral.